GGGGUUGUAGCUCAGUGGUGAAGCGCUUGCCUUGCACGUGUGAGCCACUGAGUUCAAUACUCAGCACCACA
This 71-nucleotide transfer RNA is filed under the name Marmota monax (woodchuck). RNAcentral describes it as "tRNA.Ala". Lineage: Eukaryota; Metazoa; Chordata; Mammalia; Rodentia; Sciuridae. The record is from RNAcentral.